GCAAACUUGGUCAUUUAGAGGAAGUAAAAGUCGUAACAAGGUUUCCGUAGGUGAACCUGCGGAAGGAUCAUUAACGAGUUGAAUUGAAGUUGUUCUGGUCUCUCGGGGCAAGUGAACACUUCUCUCUCAUCCAUCUCACCCCUGUGCACUUUUGAGAGGUUGACUAGCGUGGAAUCUAAGUUGGAAACGACGGUGAUUCUAAUGGUCUCCUCUUAUUUUACACCAUACUACAAGUAUUAGAAAGUCUUUUAUUGCUUGAUGCAAAAUAAAUACAACUUUCAGCAACGGAUCUCUUGGCUCUCGCAUCGAUGAAGAACGCAGC
Molecule: unclassified non-coding RNA, 322 nt
Filed under: uncultured fungus
Lineage: Eukaryota; Fungi
Description: partial contains small subunit ribosomal RNA, internal transcribed spacer 1, and 5.8S ribosomal RNA
Rfam family: Eukaryotic small subunit ribosomal RNA (bases 1-73)
Source: RNAcentral